This 316-nucleotide unclassified non-coding RNA is filed under the name uncultured fungus. RNAcentral's name for it is "partial contains 5.8S ribosomal RNA, internal transcribed spacer 2, and large subunit ribosomal RNA". Lineage: Eukaryota; Fungi. The record is from RNAcentral.
AACGCACCUUGCGCCCCUUGGACAUUCCGAGGGGCAUGCCUGUUUGAGUAUCAUGAACACCUCAACUCUCAUGGCUUGCCCGUGAUGAGCUUGGACUUUGGGGGUUUUGCUGGCCUACGGUUGGCUCCUCUCAAAUGAAUCAGCUUGCCAGUGUCUUGGUGGCAUCAUGGGUGUGAUAACUAUCUACGCUUGUGAUUGUCUGCUGAGUGACCUUCAGCGAUGGAGGUUUGCUGGAGCUUACAGAUGUCUCUCCUCAGCGAAGACAGCUUUUCGAACGUUCGAUCUCAAAUCAGGUAGGACUACCCGCUGAACUUAA